This 440-nucleotide ribosomal RNA is filed under the name uncultured bacterium. Its description in RNAcentral is "bacterial SSU rRNA". It matches the Rfam family "Bacterial small subunit ribosomal RNA", at positions 338 to 769 of the family's 1533-position model. The record is from RNAcentral.
CCUACGGGAGGCAGCAGUCGAGAGGCUUCGGCAAUGGGGGCAACCCUGACCGAGCGACGCCGCGUGGGUGAUGAAGUUUUUCGGAACGUAAAACCCUGUCAGGUGGGAGGAAACACCAUUCGGUCAAUACCCGAGUGGCUUGACAGUACCACCAGAGGAAGCUCCGGCUAACUCCGUGCCAGCAGCCGCGGUAACACGGGGGGAGCAAGCGUUGUUCGGAUUCAUUGGGCGUAAAGAGCUCGUAGGUGGCUCUGUAAGUCGGGGGUGAAAGACCACAGCUCAACUGUGGAAACGCCUUCGAAACUAUGGAGCUUGAGGCUGGGAGAGGAGAUCGGAAUUCCUGGUGUAGCGGUGAAAUGCGUAGAUAUCAGGAGGAACACCGGUGGCGAAGGCGGAUCUCUGGACCAGUUCUGACACUGAGGAGCGAAAGCCAGGGGAGC